GAUGAACGCUGGCGGCGUGCCUAAUACGUGCAAGUCGAGCGAACAGACGAGGAGCUUGCUCCUCUGACGUUAGCGGCGGACGGGUGAGUAACACGUGGAUAACCUACCUAUAAGACUGGGAUAACUUCGGGAAACCGGAGCUAAUACCGGAUAAUAUAUUGAACCGCAUGGUUCAAUAGUGAAAGACGGUUUUGCUGUCACUUAUAGAUGGAUCCGCGCCGCAUUAGCUAGUUGGUAAGGUAACGGCUUACCAAGGCAACGAUGCGUAGCCGACCUGAGAGGGUGAUCGGCCACACUGGAACUGAGACACGGUCCAGACUCCUACGGGAGGCAGCAGUAGGGAAUCUUCCGCAAUGGGCGAAAGCCUGACGGAGCAACGCCGCGUGAGUGAUGAGGGUCUUCGGAUCGUAAAACUCUGUUAUUAGGGAAGAACAAAUGUGUAAGUAACUAUGCACGUCUUGACGGUACCUAAUCAGAAAGCCACGGCUAACUACGUG
Molecule: ribosomal RNA, 497 nt
Filed under: uncultured bacterium
Lineage: Bacteria
Description: partial 16S ribosomal RNA
Rfam family: Bacterial small subunit ribosomal RNA
Source: RNAcentral